Molecule: ribosomal RNA, 369 nt
Filed under: uncultured bacterium
Lineage: Bacteria
Description: bacterial SSU rRNA
Rfam family: Bacterial small subunit ribosomal RNA
Source: RNAcentral
GAUGAACGCUAGCGGGAGGCCUAACACAUGCAAGCCGAGCGGUAUAGAAUCUUCGGAUUUUAGAGAGCGGCGUACGGUGCGGAACACGUGUGCAACCUACCUUUAUCUGGAGGAUAGCCUUUCGAAAGGAAGAUUAAUACUCCAUAAUAUAUUGAUUGGCAUCAAUUAAUAUUGAAAAGCUCCGGCGGAUAGAGAUGGGCACGCGCAAGAUUAGUAGUGGUGAGGUAACGGCUCACCAAGACGAUGAUCUUUAGGGGGCCUGAGAGGUGAUCCCCACACUGGUACUGAGACACGGACCAGACUCCUACGGGAGGCAGCAGUGAGGAAUAUUGGACAAUGGGUGCAAGCCUGAUCCAGCCAUCCCGCGUG